AAGUCGUAACAAGGUUUCCGUAGGUGAACCUGCGGAAGGAUCAUUAAUUAAUUUUGUUUCUCAUUUUUGAGGACAUAUUUAUUGUGCAAUUAUAAAAGUUGUGGUUCUCGCCAUACACUCACUAUUUAAUAUUGGAUUACUAUUGUUCUGUAAAGAAUAAAUAUUAUAAUUAUAAACAACUUUUAACAACGGAUCUCUUGGCUCUCC
This 207-nucleotide unclassified non-coding RNA is filed under the name fungal sp. RNAcentral describes it as "partial internal transcribed spacer region". The stretch from base 1 to 46 matches the Rfam family "Eukaryotic small subunit ribosomal RNA", at positions 1786 to 1831 of the family's 1831-position model. The record is from RNAcentral. Lineage: Eukaryota; Fungi.